GCUUAACGCGAAGAACCUUACCAGCCCUUGAUAUGCCGGUCGCGGACAGUGGAGACAUUGUCCUUCAGUUAGGCUGGACCGGACACAGGUGCUGCAUGGCUGUCGUCAGCUCGUGUCGUGAGAUGUUGGGUUAAGUCCCGCAACGAGCGCAACCCUCGCCUCUAGUUGCCAUCAUUCAGUUGGGCACUCUAGAGGGACUGCCGGUGAUAAGCCGAGAGGAAGGUGGGGAUGACGUCAAGUCCUCAUGGCCCUUACGGGCUGGGCUACACACGUGCUACAAUGGCGGUGACAAUGGGCAGCGAGGCAGCGAUGCCGAGCUAAUCUCCAAAAGCCGUCUCAGUUCGGAUUGCACUCUGCAACUCGAGUGCAUGAAGUUGGAAUCGCUAGUAAUCGUGGAUCAGAAUGCCACGGUGGAUACGUUCCCGGGUCUUGUACACACCG
Molecule: ribosomal RNA, 441 nt
Filed under: uncultured bacterium
Lineage: Bacteria
Description: bacterial SSU rRNA
Rfam family: Bacterial small subunit ribosomal RNA
Source: RNAcentral